AUACGGAAGGUCCGGGCGUUAUCCGGAUUUAUUGGGUUUAAAGGGAGCGCAGGCGGAGAUGCAAGCGUGACGUCAAAUUUCGGGGCUCAACCCCGUCUCGCGUCGCGAACUGCGUCCCUUGGUUGCGGGAAGGGGAGGCGGAACUCGUGGUGUAGCGGUGAAAUGCAUAGAUAUCACGAAGAACUCCGAUCGCGAAGGCAGCCUUCCGGCCCGUCAACGUCGCUCAUGCUCGAAGGUGCGGGUAUCAAACAGGAUUAGAUACCCUGGUAGUCCGCACAGUAAACGAUGGACACCCGCGGUUUGGCCUGUAUGGCUGAGCCGCCAAGCGAAAGCGUUAAGUGUCCCACCUGGGGAGUACGCCGGCAACGGUGAAACUCAAAGGAAUUGACGGGG
This 393-nucleotide ribosomal RNA is filed under the name uncultured bacterium. Its description in RNAcentral is "partial 16S ribosomal RNA". It matches the Rfam family "Bacterial small subunit ribosomal RNA", at positions 523 to 918 of the family's 1533-position model. The record is from RNAcentral.